RNAcentral lists this ribosomal RNA (460 nucleotides) under uncultured Ochrobactrum sp. RNAcentral describes it as "bacterial SSU rRNA". It matches the Rfam family "Bacterial small subunit ribosomal RNA", at positions 925 to 1382 of the family's 1533-position model. The record is from RNAcentral. Lineage: Bacteria; Pseudomonadati; Pseudomonadota; Alphaproteobacteria; Hyphomicrobiales; Brucellaceae.
ACAAGCGGUGGAGCAUGUGGUUUUAAUUCGAAGCAACGCGCAGAACCUUACCAGCCCUUGACAUACCGGUCGCGGACACAGAGAUGUGUCUUUCAGUUCGGCUGGACCGGAUACAGGUGCUGCAUGGCUGUCGUCAGCUCGUGUCGUGAGAUGUUGGGUUAAGUCCCGCAGCGAGCGCAACCCUCGCCCUUAGUUGCCAGCAUUUAGUUGGGCACUCUAAGGGGACUGCCGGUGAUAAGCCGAGAGGAAGGUGGGGAUGACGUCAAGUCCUCAUGGCCCUUACGGGCUGGGCUACACACGUGCUACAAUGGUGGUGACAGUGGGCAGCGAGCACGCGAGUGUGAGCUAAUCUCCAAAAGCCAUCUCAGUUCGGAUUGCACUCUGCAACUCGAGUGCAUGAAGUUGGAAUCGCUAGUAAUCGCGGAUCCAGCAUGCCGCGGUGAAUACGUUCCCGGGCCUU